AACGUAGGUGGCGAGCGUUAUCCGGAUUUACUGGGCGUAAAGGGUGUGCAGGCGGGCUGUUAAGUGGUGUAUGAAAUCGCCGGGCUCAACCGGGCGAGGUUAUGCCAGACUGGCAGUCUAGAGAGCGAGAGAGGGACGUGGAAUUCCGGGUGUAGUGGUGAAAUGCGUAGAGAUCCGGAGGAACCCCAGAGGCGAAGGCGGCCCCCUGGCUCGUACCUGACGCUCAGCCACGAAAGCAUGGGGAGCGAACGGG
RNAcentral lists this ribosomal RNA (253 nucleotides) under uncultured bacterium. Its description in RNAcentral is "partial 16S ribosomal RNA". It matches the Rfam family "Bacterial small subunit ribosomal RNA", at positions 524 to 776 of the family's 1533-position model. The record is from RNAcentral.